UCUGGCUCAGGACGAACGCUGGCGGCGUGCCUAAUACAUGCAAGUCGAGCGGACAGAAGGGAGCUUGCUCCCGGAUGUUAGCGGCGGACGGGUGAGUAACACGUGGGUAACCUGCCUGUAAGACUGGGAUAACUCCGGGAAACCGGAGCUAAUACCGGAUAGUUCCUUGAACCGCAUGGUUCAAGGAUGAAAGACGGUUUCGGCUGUCACUUACAGAUGGACCCGCGGCGCAUUAGCUAGUUGGUGAGGUAACGGCUCACCAAGGCGACGAUGCGUAGCCGACCUGAGAGGGUGAUCGGCCACACUGGGACUGAGACACGGCCCAGACUCCUACGGGAGGCAGCAGUAGGGAAUCUUCCGCAAUGGACGAAAGUCUGACGGAGCAACGCCGCGUGAGUGAUGAAGGUUUUCGGAUCGUAAAGCUCUGUUGUUAGGGAAGAACAAGUGCAAGAGUAACUGCUUGCACCUUGACGGUACCUAACCAGAAAGCCACGGCUAACUACGUGCCAGCAGCCGCGGUAAUACGUAGGUGGCAAGCGUUGUCCGGAAUUAUUGGGCGUAAAGGGCUCGCAGGCGGUUUCUUAAGUCUGAUGUGAAAGCCCCCGGCUCAACCGGGGAGGGUCAUUGGAAACUGGGAAACUUGAGUGCAGAAGAGGAGAGUGGAAUUCCACGUGUAGCGGUGAAAUGCGUAGAGAUGUGGAGGAACACCAGUGGCGAAGGCGACUCUCUGGUCUGUAACUGACGCUGAGGAGCGAAAGCGUGGGGAGCGAACAGGAUUAGAUACCCUGGUAGUCCACGCCGUAAACGAUGAGUGCUAAGUGUUAGGGGGUUUCCGCCCCUUAGUGCUGCAGCUAACGCAUUAAGCACUCCGCCUGGGGAGUACGGUCGCAAGACUGAAACUCAAAGGAAUUGACGGGGGCCCGCACAAGCGGUGGAGCAUGUGGUUUAAUUCGAAGCAACGCGAAGAACCUUACCAGGUCUUGACAUCCUCUGACAACCCUAGAGAUAGGGCUUUCCCUUCGGGGACAGAGUGACAGGUGGUGCAUGGUUGUCGUCAGCUCGUGUCGUGAGAUGUUGGGUUAAGUCCCGCAACGAGCGCAACCCUUGAUCUUAGUUGCCAGCAUUCAGUUGGGCACUCUAAGGUGACUGCCGGUGACAAACCGGAGGAAGGUGGGGAUGACGUCAAAUCAUCAUGCCCCUUAUGACCUGGGCUACACACGUGCUACAAUGGACAGAACAAAGGGCUGCGAGACCGCAAGGUUUAGCCAAUCCCACAAAUCUGUUCUCAGUUCGGAUCGCAGUCUGCAACUCGACUGCGUGAAGCUGGAAUCGCUAGUAAUCGCGGAUCAGCAUGCCGCGG
RNAcentral lists this ribosomal RNA (1360 nucleotides) under Bacillus pumilus. RNAcentral describes it as "bacterial SSU rRNA". It matches the Rfam family "Bacterial small subunit ribosomal RNA", at positions 18 to 1362 of the family's 1533-position model. The record is from RNAcentral. Lineage: Bacteria; Bacillati; Bacillota; Bacilli; Caryophanales; Bacillaceae.